This 587-nucleotide ribosomal RNA is filed under the name uncultured bacterium. Its description in RNAcentral is "bacterial SSU rRNA". It matches the Rfam family "Bacterial small subunit ribosomal RNA", at positions 337 to 916 of the family's 1533-position model. The record is from RNAcentral.
UCCUACGGGAGGCAGCAGUGGGGAAUAUUGGACAAUGGGGGGAACCCUGAUCCAGCCAUGCCGCGUGUGUGAAGAAGGCCCUCGGGUUGUAAAGCACUUUCAGCGAGGAAGAACGCCUAGCGGUUAAUACCCGCUAGGAAAGACAUCACUCGCAGAAGAAGCACCGGCUAACUCCGUGCCAGCAGCCGCGGUAAUACGGAGGGUGCAAGCGUUAAUCGGAAUUACUGGGCGUAAAGCGCGCGUAGGCGGCUUGAUAAGCCGGUUGUGAAAGCCCCGGGCUCAACCUGGGAACGGCAUCCGGAACUGUCAAGCUAGAGUGCAGGAGAGGAAGGUAGAAUUCCCGGUGUAGCGGUGAAAUGCGUAGAGAUCGGGAGGAAUACCAGUGGCGAAGGCGGCCUUCUGGACUGACACUGACACUGAGGUGCGAAAGCGUGGGUAGCAAACAGGAUUAGAUACCCUGGUAGUCCACGCCGUAAACGAUGUCGACCAGCCGUUGGGUGCCUAGCGCACUUUGUGGCGAAGUUAACGCGAUAAGUCGACCGCCUGGGGAGUACGGCCGCAAGGUUAAAACUCAAAUGAAUUGACGG